This 1231-nucleotide ribosomal RNA is filed under the name metagenome. RNAcentral's name for it is "bacterial LSU rRNA". It matches the Rfam family "Bacterial large subunit ribosomal RNA", at positions 1701 to 2925 of the family's 2925-position model. The record is from RNAcentral.
CCGGUUAAGGAACUAGGCAAAUUAAGUCCGUAACUUAGGGAAAAGGACUGCCACUGGUUGUGAGGGCGACUAGCUUGUCUGAGCGAUUGGUGGUCGCAGCGAAAUGGCUCUGCCGACUGUUUAACAAAAACACAGGUCUCUGCGAAAGCGAAAGCUGACGUAUAGGGGCUGACGCCUGCCCAGUGCCGGAAGGUUAAGGGGAGAUGUGAUGAGCAUUGAACCGAAGCCCCGGUGAACGGCGGCCGUAACUAUAACGGUCCUAAGGUAGCGAAAUUCCUUGUCGGGUAAGUUCCGACCCGCACGAAAGGCGUAACGAGCAGAGCACUGUCUCAACAAGGGACCCGGCGAAGUUGAAAUAGCGGUGAAGAUGCCGUUUACCCGCAGCAGGACAAAAAGACCCCGUGGAGCUUUACUGUAGCUUGACAUUGAGUUAGGGCUUUGUCUGUGUAGGAUAGGUGGGAGGCUGUGAAGCUGGUCCGCUAGGAUCGGUGGAGUCGACGUUGAAAUACCACCCUGAUGGAGUCUUGGCUCUAACCUGUGGCCCUAAUCGGGCAUGGGGACAGUGUCUGGUAGGCAGUUUGACUGGGGCGGUCGCCUCCUAAAGAGUAACGGAGGCGCCCAAAGGUUCCCUCAGGCUGAAUGGAAACCAGCCGCAGAGUGUAAAGGCAUAAGGGAGCUUGACUGCGAGACAAACAAGUCGAGCAGAGACGAAAGUCGGGCUUAGUGAUCCUACGGUUCCGAGUGGAAGGGCCGCGGCUUAACGGACAAAAGCUACCCCGGGGAUAACAGGCUGAUCUCCUCCAAGAGUUCACAUCGACGAGGAGGUUUGGCACCUCGAUGUCGGCUCGUCGCAUCCUGGGGCUGAAGUAGGUCCCAAGGGUCCGGCUGUUCGCCGGUUAAAGCGGUACGCGAGCUGGGUUCAGACCGUCGUGAGACAGGUCGGUCUCUAUCCGCUGUGGGCGAAGGGGAUUUGAGAGGGGCUGCCCCUAGUACGAGAGGACCGGGGUGGACAGACCGCUGGUGUACCAGUUGUCUCGCCAGAGGCAUGGCUGGGUAGCUAAGUCUGGCAGCGAUAACCGCUGAAAGCAUCUAAGUGGGAAACGCGCCUCAAGAUGAGAUCCCCCACUGUAAAAGGGUAAGUGCACCGGGAGACUACCGGUUAGAUAGGCGGCAGGUGUACGCACUGUGAGGUGUUGAGCCGAGCCGUACUAAUGCACGAGGACUUAAUCUA